RNAcentral lists this ribosomal RNA (465 nucleotides) under Vreelandella stevensii. Its description in RNAcentral is "partial 16S ribosomal RNA". It matches the Rfam family "Bacterial small subunit ribosomal RNA", at positions 338 to 795 of the family's 1533-position model. The record is from RNAcentral. Lineage: Bacteria; Pseudomonadati; Pseudomonadota; Gammaproteobacteria; Oceanospirillales; Halomonadaceae.
CCUACGGGCGGCAGCAGUGGGGAAUAUUGGACAAUGGGCGAAAGCCUGAUCCAGCCAUGCCGCGUGUGUGAAGAAGGCCUUCGGGUUGUAAAGCACUUUCAGUGGGGAAGAAAGCCUUGGGGCUAAUGCCCUCGAGGAAGGACAUCACCCACAGAAGAAGCACCGGCUAACUCCGUGCCAGCAGCCGCGGUAAUACGGAGGGUGCGAGCGUUAAUCGGAAUUACUGGGCGUAAAGCGCGCGUAGGCGGUCUGAUAAGCCGGUUGUGAAAGCCCCGGGCUCAACCUGGGAACGGCAUCCGGAACUGUCAGGCUAGAGUGCAGGAGAGGAAGGUAGAAUUCCCGGUGUAGCGGUGAAAUGCGUAGAGAUCGGGAGGAAUACCAGUGGCGAAGGCGGCCUUCUGGACUGACACUGACGCUGAGGUGCGAAAGCGUGGGUAGCAAACAGGAUUAGAUACCCCGGUAGUC